UUCAUUUCGUACACACUCGCUUCCUUCCCAAACCCAAUAGUGUCCUUUAUUUCCUUCAAGAUGAGCUCAUUUCUUUGUCUAAUAGCUGAAGAAGUUAUAUAAGCACCACGAUCAUGAACUUCAAAGUUCAGAAACUAGUAAGCAAACUUUGGAUAUUCCUCGCUGAAACUAGAAUAUAGAGUUUUUUGGUAGAUUGUUGAUAUUCUAAAAUGGAAACCUGAAACUAUGAUAAUUAGGUUCACGAAAUUGACGAUAGAGGCUGAAAUUUUAUUUUAUUUGCUGAAAAGUGCAUGAACAAUCAUGUUGGAUGCUGAAAGCGUUGAAAAAACCUUAGUUAGAUUUCCAAAUCUUGCUAUGGUAUGUACGGGGUUUAUAUACAUGAUGCAUGCUAGAUUAGGCUAUACAUUUGUAAUCUUUGUGGUUUGGAUAGUUUUAGCCUGAAGUGUUUUUGUGAAGGUCUACAAGUGAUAUGCUUUACAUUGAUGAAGUUGUUGGAAGUACUAUUGCAUGGCCUGCUGACAAGGUUCUUAUGGACUCUAAGCCAGGGUUCAUGGGCUGAUAAAGAAGAAAAGUUCUUUUGUGACUUUUUGCUGAAGAUGUAGAUAUCAUCUAGCUAGUGUGCUAGUUGUCAUGAUCUCUUGGUUGAAGCCUCUUUGUUGAUAUUUUGGUGGCAAGGCUUAUACUCCACUUUUGGGAUACAUAGUUGUUUUGGUUGAAGCCUUUUUGUUGGUAUUUUUUGACUAGGCUUGUACUCGACUUUUGGGAUAGACGAAUGUUUUGGAAGGAUGUAGUACUCUAAUUUUCUUCUAUGUAAUGCUAGUCAUUUUGUUC
Molecule: long non-coding RNA, 831 nt
Organism: Rhododendron vialii
Lineage: Eukaryota; Viridiplantae; Streptophyta; Magnoliopsida; Ericales; Ericaceae
Exons: 2
Source: RefSeq, a predicted model, not a curated record